RNAcentral lists this long non-coding RNA (299 nucleotides) under Lathyrus oleraceus (garden pea). RNAcentral's name for it is "Pisum sativum (pea) long non-coding RNA (PSAT_LNC018061)". Lineage: Eukaryota; Viridiplantae; Streptophyta; Magnoliopsida; Fabales; Fabaceae. The record is from RNAcentral.
UCGUUACAUACUUCGGGUGUGUAUAUGACAGUAUUCUGCGAAAGGUUAUUUAUGCUGCGUUUCUCUCAAGCUUUACCCUGGCCUAGACUACACCCGUGAGUGGGGAAGGGUUUUUCAUUAUUACGGGUAUCGUUGGUGACUCGGUUCUGUUGGUGACUCGAUUCUGAUGGUGACUUUGUGUUCAGACAGUGUUCAGUAAACCUUAAGUGGGAUUUAUGUUCUGAUUUUGACUGAAGCUUUGACCUAGUAUCAGAGAUUGCACAACCAACCAGCCGUGUCUGCAUCAUGUGCAUCAUAGC